Molecule: long non-coding RNA, 404 nt
Filed under: Gossypium raimondii (Peruvian cotton)
Lineage: Eukaryota; Viridiplantae; Streptophyta; Magnoliopsida; Malvales; Malvaceae
Description: long non-coding RNA (GRAI_LNC008939)
Source: RNAcentral
AGCACGAUUGAACAACAGAUUGACGAAUCGAAACGAAGAAGAACAAAGCAAAGGUUUGCAGAGAAUGAGAAAAGAAAAUAUCAGAAAGAGGAAAAAUAGAAGAAAUUUACGUCAGUUUUUUUUAGAGAGAGAAAAACGAAUUUUGAAAAAAAAACUAAAUAAAAAUAAAAACAAAAAUUGAUAAGUCCCAAUAUCCCAGCUCCCCACUAUCCUCUCAUCCUCAACCACCCUCUCACACAAACUCUCAAUCCUAUCCAAACUCUCGCAGUCUAUAGAGGCAAAAAUUAACCUCCACGCUUAUGCAAGGAUUCGAACACAUGACCCCCAACACACUAACUUCUUUACCACUCGAACUAGCAUGCUCAUUCUAAUAUAAAUUAAUAGACAAUUUUAUAUAAGCUCGC